AGUGAACGCUGGCGGUAGGCCUAACACAUGCAAGUCGAACGGCAGCACAGUAAGAGCUUGCUCUUACGGGUGGCGAGUGGCGGACGGGUGAGGAAUACAUCGGAAUCUACUUUUUCGUGGGGGAGAACGUAGGGAAACUUACGCUAAUACCGCAUACGACCUACGGGUGAAAGCAGGGGAUCUUCGGACCUUGCGCGAUUGAAUGAGCCGAUGUCGGAUUAGCUAGUUGGCGGGGUAAAGGCCCACCAAGGCGACGAUCCGUAGCUGGUCUGAGAGGAUGAUCAGCCACACUGGAUCUGAGACACGGUCCAGACUCCUACGGGAGGCAGCAGUGGGGAAUAUUGGACAAUGGGCGCAAGCCUGAUCCAGCCAUACCGCGUGGGUGAAGAAGGCCUUCGGGUUGUAAAGCCCUUUUGUUGGGAAAGAAAAGCAGCAGGUUAAUACCCCGCUGUUCUGACGGUACCCAAAGAAUAAGCACCGGCUAACUUCGUG
RNAcentral lists this ribosomal RNA (492 nucleotides) under uncultured bacterium. RNAcentral describes it as "partial 16S ribosomal RNA". It matches the Rfam family "Bacterial small subunit ribosomal RNA", at positions 29 to 507 of the family's 1533-position model. The record is from RNAcentral.